UACGUAGGGACCAAGCGUUGUUCGGAUUUACUGGGCGUAAAGAGCGCGCAGGCGGUCGUUCAAGUCGCGUGUGAAAGCCCCCGGCUCAACUGGGGAGGGUCACGCGAUACUGAUCGACUCGAAGGCAGGAGAGGGAAGUGGAAUUCCCGGUGUAGUAGUGAAAUGCGUAGAUAUCGGGAGGAACACCAGUGGCGAAGGCGGCCUUCUGGCUCAUAACUGACGCUGUAGCGCGAAAGCGUGGGGAGCGAACCGG
Molecule: ribosomal RNA, 253 nt
Filed under: uncultured bacterium
Lineage: Bacteria
Description: partial 16S ribosomal RNA
Rfam family: Bacterial small subunit ribosomal RNA
Source: RNAcentral